UGUUUUAGUUUUUUGUCCACUUCAGUUUCCAAAUAUUGUCUUCGUCUUGUGUGGUUUACUAAGAAACUUAGAAGUCAAGUCAUCAUAUGAUUUAUGCAUUCAGAAUCGCCAAGGCUUCUCGCGUUUCAUCAGAACAUGAGAUAAGUACUUCCACUGUUUCAAAUUCCAUGCUCUGGCAUGGUUUCUAAAGUGGUUGCCAUGUGUUUUACUCAAAUGGCGGCCUGUUCUGUAACAUGUCUGUAGAACUGAAGCAAUGUGUUUUGAAUUUGUUUCUAGGGCUUAGCUUAUGUUCUAGCAAUGUGUUCUACUCAAAUGGUGGCCUGUCCUUGACAUGUAUGUAGAACUUAGCUUAUGUUCUCGCAAAGAAUGGUUCAUCUCUGCUUCUCUUGAUAGAUCUGUUCUGCUUUGGGAUCAGCUGGGUAAGAAGUGCCAGCGUCUUUGCAUGUAUGUACAAGGACGGCUUGCUAGAGCUAAUAAAGGUCAUGAAUACAUGUGGAUUUAAAAGGUUGGGAGCUUUAUUGUUGCAUCUGGUAUGACACAGUUAGCAUGGCUGAUAUUGUUAUAUAAAUAUUGUUUUCGGGUCCUAAUAUCUGUUGUGCGUAUUUUUAGUGUGAAGAGAAUCUAUGCACGGUAAGGAAAUGGAAGCCAUCUAGGUUGUCUAUGCUGUGCUUCGUUGUGCCUAUUUGACGUUACUGACACAUUGUCAUGAUUCAUCAGGUUUAGGGGGAGAGGCUGAUGCUAGAAUGGGAGCAUGUUCUUAAAUACACAAACAAUAUAUACAAGGUGCAUUCUACUUACCUCUAAUUAUUUCAAUUACAAGUGAGCUAAGAGAAACUGAAGGCAUGAGCCUGCCUGCAUCUCCUCAUCAUUGUGUCCAUUGGUUCAUUCAAGCUGGUCUAUUUAUAAAAUGAAGCACUGAGGAAUAUGCUUUUAGCGCGUGGCCUCACUUAGCUUCAUAUCAGAGUUCUCCAGGUGCAAAGAAUAAGACCGAUUCCAAUAACACAACUAUAUUUGUUGGAAAUCUGGAUGCUAACAUUACUGAUGAUCCAGUAUGGUGAGCUAGUACAUGUUAAGACACCAGCAGGCAAGUGAUGUGGGUUUGUUCAGUUCACAGACAGGAGCCCUGCUGCAGAGGCUUUGCAAGGAUUAAACAAUUCUCAGCUUGGGGAACAAAAUAUCCAACUUUCUUGGGGUUGCAGUCCUUCAAACAAGCAGCAGCAGGCUCAGGCAGAUCCAAACCAAUGGAAUGCUGGCUAUUAUGGAUACUAGCUCCGACUCAGCUUCCUAUUUUUUUCUCUGUCCCUGUAAAUAAAUCUUUACCUGCACAUGUAUUGAACUCUGUGAGGUUGUAUGUG
This is a long non-coding RNA of Rosa rugosa (rugosa rose), 1355 nucleotides long. RefSeq lists it as uncharacterized. The transcript has 7 exons. The record is from RefSeq and is a predicted model, not a curated record. NCBI's taxonomy places the organism in Eukaryota, Viridiplantae, Streptophyta, Magnoliopsida, Rosales, Rosaceae.